RNAcentral lists this long non-coding RNA (1118 nucleotides) under Hordeum vulgare. RNAcentral describes it as "long non-coding RNA (HVUL_LNC001766)". Lineage: Eukaryota; Viridiplantae; Streptophyta; Magnoliopsida; Poales; Poaceae. The record is from RNAcentral.
AUAAAAGCCUAUUUUGUAGCCGCUAACUCCUCAUCAUUGAUUUUGUCCUUAAUUAAGCUCACCUUCCUGACCCAGCUGAAUCCCGUUCCCAUCUCCCACAUGUCCUGAUGCAUAUGAACACCAAGUUCGCGUUUCCCUCACCACGUCGGAUCCCUCCGCUAGGAACAAGGCCUUUUCCGACGUGGCUGUGAGAUCCACCGUUCCACGGUCUGCUUCGGUGACUGCGCCCACCAUUAUCCAUGAUGACGCAUGAGCAAGCUCGCAAUCCCCCUUGGCGUCCUGCUCAUCCCACCAGGUUCUGCUCUCGUGACUUGAAGUCUACGUACCAUGCCGUUUGGGAAGGAAUCAAUCUGGAUAUGUAUUGAGUCCUUCCAUGAUCUCAUCUAGAUACAGUGUAGUUGACUCCUAACAAUGUCUAUUGUUUUUCACAUUUUUGUGGUAUUGUGUGCACACCCUUUUUCGGGGGGUCGAUUUUGUUAUGUCCUGCGUGUAGUUCAUCACCAAAAAAGAGAUGAGUAUCUGUGAAUUUUGUAUCACAUGCCACAAAGAUGGCGCUUCCAAAAAUCCAUGCUUCUUAUGCAUCAUUGGGGCGCUUCUUCACUACAUAGAGUUUGCACCAUUCUAGCCAUGCUUCUAUUUUUCUAUACAUAGAGUUUGCGCCAUUGUAUUAUCUUGAAAUAGCAUGAAAUUGAUGCUUCUUCCAAACAUCACUGUUGCAUGUUAGGCUGCCAUUACAGGUUGGAGAAUCAAUUACCAGAGCGAACGAUGGUAAUGUGACUGGUAUGAGUGGCAGUGGUGAUGGCAAGAACGUCAACGGGGAGCGCGAACAUGUAAAUAUUAUCAUGCCGCCGUAUUGGCUUCUUAUUUGGCAUCGUUGCAUCUAUGGUGCUCCUAAUCGAUGGGUGCCUUUGUUCAGGUCGGCAUCAUCUCUCAUGCUUCUUGCCCUCGACGCCUCUGGUUCCUCGACGUCACUGGCUCUACAUAGUGGGAAUGAUGUGCUUUAUUGUCACAGUUGCAAUGUUUCAGAUUCUUUGUAUUAAGUUUCAUACUAUAUGUGUGUAUGCUUCCUUCAAUUUUGUAUCAGAUAUGUGCUUCGGUAUCAUAUGUGGCAUGUUUUC